RNAcentral lists this ribosomal RNA (254 nucleotides) under uncultured bacterium. Its description in RNAcentral is "partial 16S ribosomal RNA". It matches the Rfam family "Bacterial small subunit ribosomal RNA", at positions 524 to 776 of the family's 1533-position model. The record is from RNAcentral.
UACGGAGGUGGCAAGCGUUGUUCGGAAUUACUGGGCGUAAAGGGCGCGUAGGCGGCAAGGCAAGUCAGGUGUGAAAGCCCCCGGGCUCAACUCGGGAACUGCAUCUGAAACUGCUGUGCUUGAGUCCUGGAGGGGGUAGUGGAAUUCCCAGUGUAGCGGUGAAAUGCGUAGAUAUUGGGAGGAACACCGGUGGCGAAGGCGGCUACCUGGACAGUGACUGACGCUGAGGCGCGAAAGCUAGGGGAGCGAACGGG